UGCGUAGGCGGAUUAAUAAGUCAGUGGUGAAAUCUUUCGGCUCAACCGAGAAACUGCCAUUGAUACUGUUAAUCUUGAGUUCGGUUGAGGUAGGCGGAAUGUGUAAUGUAGCGGUGAAAUGCUUAGAUAUUACACAGAACACCAAUUGCGUAGGCAGCUUACUAGACCGAUACUGACGCUGAGGCACGAAAGCGUGGGUAGCGAACAGGAUUAGAUACCCUGGUAGUCC
RNAcentral lists this ribosomal RNA (229 nucleotides) under uncultured bacterium. RNAcentral's name for it is "partial 16S ribosomal RNA". It matches the Rfam family "Bacterial small subunit ribosomal RNA", at positions 568 to 796 of the family's 1533-position model. The record is from RNAcentral.